This 89-nucleotide microRNA precursor is filed under the name Canis lupus familiaris (dog). RNAcentral describes it as "mir-8799 microRNA precursor family". It matches the Rfam family "mir-8799 microRNA precursor family". RNAcentral also lists the same sequence under 1 other name. The record is from Rfam by way of RNAcentral. Lineage: Eukaryota; Metazoa; Chordata; Mammalia; Carnivora; Canidae.
CGGGGGAGGCGGGAUCCUGGGCUGUGUCCGGCGCUCUGUGCUCCGGGGCCUGCGCUGGUGGAUUCACGCUUCCGGCGGUGCAGCCCCCU